Molecule: ribosomal RNA, 433 nt
Filed under: uncultured bacterium
Lineage: Bacteria
Description: partial 16S ribosomal RNA
Rfam family: Bacterial small subunit ribosomal RNA
Source: RNAcentral
AACGAACGCUGGCGGCAUGCCUAACACAUGCAAGUCGAACGAGACCUUCGGGUCUAGUGGCGCACGGGUGCGUAACGCGUGGGAACCUGCCCUUAUGUUCGGAAUAACUCCCCUAAAGGGGUGCUAAUACCGGAUAAUGUCUUCGGACCAAAGAUUUAUCGCCUUUGGAUGGGCCCGCGUUGGAUUAGCUAGUUGGUAGGGUAAAAGCCUACCAAGGCGACGAUCCAUAGCUGGUCUGAGAGGAUGAUCAGCCACACUGGGACUGAGACACGGCCCAGACUCCUACGGGAGGCAGCAGUGGGGAAUAUUGGACAAUGGGCGAAAGCCUGAUCCAGCAAUGCCGCGUGAGUGAUGAAGGCCUUAGGGUUGUAAAGCUCUUCUACCCGGGAUGAUAAUGACAGUACCGGGAGAAUAAGCUCCGGCUAACUCCGUG